GCAGUCGAGGGGCAGCAGGUCUGUAGCAAUACAGACGCUGGCGACCGGCAAACGGGUGCGGAACACGUACGCAACUUUCCUUCAAGUGAGGAAUAGCCCAGGGAAACUUGGAUUAAUACCUCGUAAUAUUAUGAAGUGGCAUCACUUUAUAACUAUAGCUCCGGCGCUUGAAGAUGGGCGUGCGCCUGAUUAGGUAGUUGGCGGGGUAACGGCCCACCAAGCCUACGAUCAGUAACUGGUGUGAGAGCACGACCAGUCACACGGGCACUGAGACACGGGCCCGACUCCUACGGGAGGCAGCAGUAAGGAAUAUUGGGCAAUGGACGCAAGUCUGACCCAGCCAUGCCGCGUGGAGGAUGAAGGUCCUCUGGAUUGUAAACUUCUUUUAUCUGGGAAGAAAUCCAUAUUUUCUAAUGUGGUUGACGGUACCAGAUGAAUAAGCACCGGCUAACUCCGUGCCAGCAGCCGCGGUAAUACGGAGGGUGCAAGCGUUAUCCGGAUUCACUGGGUUUAAAGGGUGCGUAGGUGGGCAGGUAAGUCAGUGGUGAAAUCUCCGGGCUUAACUCGGAAACUGCCGUUGAUACUAUCUGUCUUGAAUAUCGUGGAGGUUAGCGGAAUAUGUCAUGUAGCGGUGAAAUGCUUAGAUAUGACAUAGAACACCGAUUGCGAAGGCAGCUAACUACACGAUCAUUGACACUGAGGCACGAAAGCGUGGGGAGCAAACAGGAUUAGA
This 733-nucleotide ribosomal RNA is filed under the name uncultured Bacteroidota bacterium. RNAcentral describes it as "bacterial SSU rRNA". It matches the Rfam family "Bacterial small subunit ribosomal RNA", at positions 57 to 782 of the family's 1533-position model. The record is from RNAcentral. Lineage: Bacteria; Pseudomonadati; Bacteroidota.